This is a long non-coding RNA of Aedes albopictus (Asian tiger mosquito), 2002 nucleotides long. RefSeq lists it as uncharacterized. The transcript has 3 exons. NCBI's taxonomy places the organism in Eukaryota, Metazoa, Arthropoda, Insecta, Diptera, Culicidae. The record is from RefSeq and is a predicted model, not a curated record.
CUGCCGGCUGUGUUGUGAUCGACCAAGCGCGAGACGAGUGAGCUGCCAUUUUGGAAGAAGCAAGUGAAAAGUUGCUUUCGUUGGAUAACUCAACGUUUAAGCGAAGAUCCCGGCGUCGUACGAGUGAGUCCAGUAAGCGCGGUUUGGAAACCCAAAUCGCCGCAUAAAAUGAUUUCACUUUCAUCACUCGCCGUCGAUUUGGUCAGAGAUAACGAUGUUCCCCGACGAAUUAGCUUCUCCCAGAUAAUCCCUGCUACACUGGAAAUACCUUCCGUAGUUAUCCUAUUGUGACACCAGCAAAUAUACGGCCAAAAUCACCCCAAGAACCCCAUACUAAUAUAACGAUCAUCAGGAUUUUGCGCAACGGGUGCCAACUCGGUUCCAAGAUCGGUGUUAACCACCAACUCCACCGUAUCUCCAACACCUAAGUGAUAUGUUCCAGCCAGUAACUUCGAGCUUGUAUGCCAGGCUUGUUAUUGAUCGCCAGCGGAAGACAUGAAGGAAGAAGAAUUUGCGAGGACUUGGCCGCUCUAAGGACUCUGGGAAAGUGGACAUGAACUCCGGAGAAGGCGUCAAAAGGAUGUCUGAGCCGCAGGAUGAUAACGCCGCCAUCUUCGAGUCAGUGUUGUAUUAAGCCUGAAACCGUCGGAAUAAUGGUUUCCUUUUCGUUCCUAAGUGUCAAGAUGGCUCGUGGACCGAAAAAAAAAACAUUCGAAGCGUUGAAACGUGCCAGGAUUACCUUUGCCCGCGUCCAUCCACUGGCCCACAUAAACUGCGUGAUUUUAUUGCGCAACCAUCUGAAGUACGUCUUGACCAACUCCGAGGUCACCAAGAUCUGCAGCGUCACAUCUAGAUCGUUGGUAAGGUUCGCAUUGACCCCAACUACCUGGCUGAAUUCAUGGAUAUCAUCACUCUUUGAUCUAACGGCGUCAAGGAUCGUUUCACCGUUCAUCAUAGUACCCCGGAGGAAGCCAAGCAUAAGCUCCUGAAGGUGACGUGCGUCAGAUCGGCCGUGGAAGGUGCCGUUCAUCUCGAUUAGUUCCGAGCAUCCACCAAAACGAUUCGAUCCACAACGAUAUCGCCACCGAUGAUGGAUGGUUCAAGCUCGACCACGAAGAUCUGUGCGUGACCAACUAUCAGAACGGAAAACGAGCUGAUUGCAUGCGGAUAAUCGCUCAUAUUCAAACAGUGAGAAGAAGACCUGUUUUGUAUGAUGAAGAUACAAAAAUUCGUUAAUAAUACCCAGAAUACGAAAGCCCGCUUAACCGAAGCGGUAUGCAAGCGAUGUACUUUUUCCGAUCGGUUUAGGAUAGGGUGACGAUGGGUAUUAUCGGCAGGGUUGUUCUCUUCGUCAUGAGGGGAUUUUGUCGGCCAAUUUACCUGAAACUUUUGGUCGUAUAAUUAGGCUGGGUUGGAAAGGAUUUGAGGCUUACUCUGAGUUCAACAGCUUUCAAAAAACCCCUAUGACGAAGAGAACAAAACUGUCAAAAUACACAAUUUCCCCUAUUUUCAUAAUAAAAGUAUUUUAGAUUUUCUUAGGAUGUAUGGUAUAGGCAUGCAUGCAAAAAAAGCUCUAAUUUCAUUUGUAAAUGCUUAUAGAACAUGAUGUUUUUGAGCAGGCUUCAUUCCAUAUGGGACAAAAACAAUAAAGGAAGCAAUAAAUUUUAGUUCAACUCUUUGUUUUUAUCGAUUGUCCAUUGCCUUUUCUUCUAUGGCUGAUUAAAUUAUGUUUUUAUUCUUUUUCGAUUUGAAUUUAGUAUAGAUUUAGUGUUUUCUUCAGCUAUACAAAAUUCUGAGCGAAAAGGGAUGAAAAUGCAAUUUAAUCGGCUAUAGAAGAGCCUUGAAAUCGUUUCCAUUUUACGUCGCUUCAUUCACAUCGUAUAAAUGUACAUCGAAUAAAUUACAUCGCAAGAAUUACAUCAGAUCUGUUUAUUACAUCCACAGCCACCGAGUACAUCGGGCUGUGUAAUAUUCAUCAAUCGAUGUAACGACCUGGUUGCAG